Molecule: long non-coding RNA, 320 nt
Filed under: Rattus norvegicus (Norway rat)
Lineage: Eukaryota; Metazoa; Chordata; Mammalia; Rodentia; Muridae
Description: long non-coding RNA NONRATT014309
Source: RNAcentral
GGAUGUUAAGAUUCCUCUCUGCACAUUUACAGAUGGAGGGAUUUCCAGCGCGUCAUCACAGAACUUAUUCAGACGGUGACUAACUGCCCCACUCGAAUCCCAUGACAGCAGAGAAUUGUGUACUAUGUGAGGCUGCGCAGAGGCCAUUCCUCCGUCCGAAGAGGGUAGCAGCACGUGAAAAUGGACGUUCUAUAGCGGUGGCUCUAACAGCUCUCUUCCUCUGAGCAUGCCUACUCUGAACUCUGCAGCUGCUCCACCCUGGAAAUACUGAUCUCCAAUGUUCAAGUGCUAUCAAAGUUCUGAGCAUUUGGGAUUAAAAA